CCAGCUUCCUCCCUGACGUGGCACCGUCUCUUUGGCCUCCAGCCUUGCGCCUCAGAGCAGGCCUGGGGUAGGGGUGGUCCCCGUGCUUGCGCCGGCAGUGGAGUUCUUCCUACACCAGGUGGCCCUGCAGCCUCUCCCCCUCAGCGCUCACACCCUGACCUAGCACAUGGCCCUGGGAUCCUGCAGAGAGAGACUCUGAGUUAGACCAUCUGCGGGCCCAAGGACCGCCUGACUCUCCGUCCCCCGCUGCCCCGGCUGAGUGCCCCACAUUUUCUGCAGAAAUGAGACCCCAUCCCCCAGGGCAGUGGGGAGGAAUGUGCUGGGCUGGUGGGCAAGGGCGGUGGACAGGGUUCUAUUGCUUUCUCGCCGACCCUUUGUCAUCCCUAAAGGCAGGACGGCUUCCUCCGUUGCUGAAUGAACAGAAAAAGGUGGAGUGGUCAGCCUCCCACUGCUGCCUGGGGUCCCAGCCAGAUGAGCAGUGUCUGCCUUUUCUCCCAGGGGGCGCUCACACUUGGGACGUGGACCCUUCCUCCCUCCAGCUUCCCUGACUCUGCUCCCCUCUCCUCCCCCGUCCCAGCCGUCUCUUCCUUCUUCAGCUCUCCCCUUCUUUCCCCUCUCUGUGCUUCCUGUCUCUCCCCCUUCCUAUUUCUCCUCCUCUGUCAGGUCCCCAGCCCCUCCUCCCAUUUCUCCUUCAGUCUCUAUGGAGACCUGUCCUUUCUCACCAGCCUGCCUUCCCCUGCCGACUCAUCUUUCUCUCCUUCUCUCUUUGCUUGCCCCUCCUCCCUCCUCACUUCCCGACCAGUCUCUUGCCAUCUCUCCCUCUCCUCUAAACCUCCUGGCAGCCCCUUCCACCUGCCUGCAGGGCCCUAGGGCCUCUUACCCUGCGAGGCUCGGUGGUGUCUCUGUGGGGCCCUGUCCAUGGGGCAACUCCCUUGGUGCCGUCCUUGCUGCCCUGGCUGCCCAGGAGGGCAGGGAGCAGGGCCCAGGGGAGGGAAGAGGGAGGAGGGAGGGAGCACCUGGCCCAGCAUCAGGCAGGGGAAAGGAGUGGCUGGCAGAGCAUCCUGGCAUCAGGAGGGGACAAGGGGAGAGACGGGAGGAACAGAGUUUGGAGGCUUGAGGAGAAACAGGAUAGGUGAUGGGAAGGGGGCUAGCAUUUAUCGAUCACCUUCUGUGUGCUGGGCCCUUUGCCGGUCACUUUAUGUAAAUCCGUGAUUUUCUCCAAUCCUCCCAACAUCCACCAUGAGGCCGGCAUAGUCGCUCCAGAUAACUAUGUGAUGCUUAUAAGGUAAGUGAUGCUCAAAGAUAGUCAUGAGUUGCCCAAGGACUUGCACAAGGACAAUAAGUGGCUGAGCUGUGAUUUGAACCCAGGUCUUUGUGAGUUUAGAAUCAUGCGCUUUCUACUUGACCAAGACAGGUGACGGGAACAGGGGAAGUGGGGAGGGGAGAGAUGAAGACGGGAUGGCUUAUUCGGGGGAUGGUGCCUCUUCUACAGGAUGAGGUCAGACUCAUCUCCGUGGUUCUUGGGUUCCUUGAGGCCUCUGCUUAGCCUCUGCCCUUUGCUGCCCUUUGCUGCCCUUCCCUAGAAUUCCCUGGCUCCCUGGUGCCUCCACAUCCUCCUGGUCUGCUGGGGCUGUGGGCAGGCCUGGAGGAGUGUGCUGAGGCAGAGGAGCCAUGGGACAGGAGGGGAGCCACGUUGCACUGCACUAGUUGCGGGAAGGAGACCCCCCCAGAUUGGGCAGACCCACGCUGAGGAAGGGCUCUGUGGAGAGCUACAGGAUACUGCUUCCGCGGGACCCGGAUGCCACUAAUCUCCUGCACAGACUCGGCCCAGAGUUUGAUUAGCUGGGCCUGGCUCUCCUGCUUACCCAACAGGCCGGCUGGCCAGAGGCCAGGCUGCAGUGGGGAGGCUCCCUGGCACCUCCUCCGGCUCUCACUCCCAGCUGGUAAACAGCAGAGCAGGAGCCAGCCACGCCUCAGCCUCGUGACUGCAGCCCACUCCUCCCCGGUGCACGUGGCAUCUGGCGUGGAGAGGGCAGGCAGCUGUCCCUUCCCUCACCUGCCCUCCCACCUCACCAUCCUGCGCUCGUGCCCCACCCUGGAAGCGCACGCUCCGCUACCAUCAACACCUCCGUUCCUGGGUAGCUCCCAGAGACUCCGGAGGGCUGCAGCUUACGGGACAAAGGUUAGAAGUAGAAAAGGACUUUCCAGCUCCCAGGAUGGUUGACAAGGGUGCAGGGAGUGAGGAAGAGUGGAGUGGAAACUUUUGGGGACCUUCCUAUACCGAGAGUCUGAGGGCGUGUGUCUGUUCGUCUGAGACUCUGAUUAUCCCCGUGUCCUUUUGGUAAAUGCAUGGCCCACGCGUCUGUGUAUACUUCUCUGCACAGAACAGGAUGUUGGUCUGUUUUGGGGCUCAGCCCCUUGGGCAAGCUUGGAGUAAGAAGUAAAGCUCUCUAAAGCACCACCCAGGCCAGUGCCCAGCAGACAAGUAGAGCCAGCAAGAGGCAGAGGGGCAGGGUGCAGGGGCUGCUGGGGCAGAGUGUUGCUCUGCUGUCCCCUUCCCUGCCCACGAUUGGCUUUGCUUCCUCUCGGUAUCCUCUCUCUGUGUCUCUGCCUGCCAACCCCUCCAUGCCUAUGGCUCUUCUGUUUUCUGUGCCUCGGUAGCUCAUCCCUCUUUCUAUUUUCUCCUCUUUCAGCCUCUCUUCCUCUGUGACUCUGGGUCCCUCAGGAUCCUUCUUGACCUACCAAGCAUGGGCAUGGAAUAGAGGCCGUGCAAAGCGCCUGGGGAUGGGCACUUGGCCCUGGCAUCGUGCCAGGCAGCCCUGCCCACCCCAGAUACGGUAGGUCUGGCUGCCUCUCUCAGCCGUGCCACUUCGUGCCACUGUGUAAGGUGGGGAGGAAGUGACUGGUGGUUGGGAAGACAGGGUCCUGGCUCUAGGCCUAAGCUAGUCUCAUGCUUCCCAGCGUAUCUCUAUGCCUUCCUUACCCUAAGCAUGGAUGGCUGGUGUUCUUUCUCCCUGGGGCAAGUAGGUACCCUGAUCAUCCUUUUGGGAAGUCCCCCCCUCAUGCCUACACUUCCUCCCUUCUGCUCUAAUCACAGAUCCUUUUCUGGAGGAAUCAGUCCUUUCAGAGCAGGGCAGUGGUUAUUUCCUCCCCAAAUACAUUCUCACAUUCUUAUGCAAGGAAGAGGCUGAUAGGGAUCAGAGAAUCAAUUCACCCACCACGUGCCCAAGUUCCCUUAUCAGGGGAAUCUGAACGCCAGGGGCAAGCAGCCUGGGGGUGUGGAGGGUGGUGGUGGUGGCUUGGAACUGGGGAGCAGUCACCAACUUCUUCUUCCCUUCCUUUCCACCCCCUAGACCACAGAAACCACUUAAAGCUCGUGCAAGCCUGCCCCUCCUGGGAGGGCCUGGGGUGUAAAGGUGGAAAGUUUGUGGGGCCUGGGCUGACUGCAUGCUACAUACCACCUCAGCUCCAUCCUUCGAGGGCCACCCGCUCUGGGAGGCCUGAUCCAGUGGUUAAGAGUACCUUCCUAUGUGUCCUUUCUAAGAGGUCCAUGCCUGGGGGAGACCUCAACCCACCGGAGGGACUCAGGGAGGGGGCACAGUCCCCUCAGCCAUUAAAAAAAAGGACAUCUCCGGCUCUAUAAACAUCUGUAGAUCUCACAGUCACCACCCCUCCCCUUUCCUGUUACAAAGGCCACUGUGGGUGGAGGGACCAGUGGGAGUUUGACCUCAGCUCCUGGCCCUGAACUCUCCGUGUGACCCUGCCUGUGGCACUCAUCUGUCAAUUAACAUCUGUGGUCAUUUAGACUUGGACGUUGCAAGGAGGGUUGAAAAGCAGGAGCUCUGAUUUUUGGAGCCGAAAGACGGGUAAGAACGUAGCCUACUAUUAGUCCUCAAUUACCACAUUGUUAAAAAGGGGGCAGUAAUAUCUGUCCAGACUUGCGUCUGUGAACAUGCUUUGAGGCCAGAGCAGUCUGCACACAGGAGGGGUUCUUACGACCUUAUUUGCCCCAGGGCAUGCUUCUGUGGCUUUAGUUUAGCCUGGAAGUUCCUCCAGGGACAUUGUGGUCCCCAUGGGGGGGUGGGGAGGGGGAGGGUCACAGCUGUGGAUACUGAACGAACUGCUCCUGACUGGAGUGGACUUGAAUUCUCACCUUGCGAGCCUCCUCUGAAUGGCAGGUGAGGUAGGAGGUCUGGAUGGAGCCACAGUCCUAAAACUUCCCUGCAGUCAGGGCUGAUCCUCAGGCAAGUUUACUUAACCUCUCUGAUCUAUCUUCUCCGUAAAAUGGUAACAGUAGCCGCCUUACUGAGUGGUUGCAAUGAUUAACUGGCAUAACAAUAAAGUACAGAACCUACUGGUACAAAGUACUGUGGUUAAAAAGCAAUGUUUCGGUCCCUCCCUCCCUCUUUCCAUUCUUACAAUCUUCCUUUCUUCUCUUUGUCUGACUCCCUUCCUAAUCUCUCUCCUGCUUUAUUUUUCUCUAGAACAUAUUACCAGGUGUCAUUUCUACAUUUUACUUAUUCAUUUUGUAAAUUGUCUGAUACUCGUGUCUGUUUUUUGUUUUGUUUUGUUUUGUUUUUUGCGGUACGCGGGCCUCUCACUGUUGUGGCCUCUCCUGUUGCAGAGCACAGGCUCCAGACACGCAGGCUCAGCGGCCAUGGCUCACGGGCCCAGCCGCUCCGUGGCAUGUGGGAUCUUCCCGGACCAGGGCAUGAACCCGUGUCCCCUGCAUCGGCAGGCGGACUCUCAACCACUGAGCCACCAGGGAAGCCCCCCGUGUCUGUUUUGAUCACUGCUGUAUCCAAUGCCCAGAACCUCCUGGCCUUCCCUAAGUAUUUGUUGAAGGACUGCAUGAAUGAAGGGUAAAUGGCCUCUACUUCUCUUUCCAGCUACUUUCAAAUGGGCGUCAAAUCCAGUUACUCACCAAAGGUUGUUAGGGGAGGAUUUGGGACUGAAGUAGGACAGUACUAGGGAUAGAGCUGGAUCUAUGGGUGGACUUCACAGCCUGAAAAGAUCGGAGAGCUGUCAUCCUGGGGAAGGAAGUGACCUGACUGGGAAGUGGCAGCUGGCACUUAGGGAUAUUAUAGUGAGGUGAUUAAGAACCCAGAGUCUAAGGCCAGACUCUCUGGGUAUGAAUCCUAGUUCUACCCCUCACUGGAUGAGUAAAACCCAAGGUCACACUGGAUAAAAAUAUUAGCAAUAGUACUUAACCCUCAAUGGGGUUGUUGGCAAGUUGUUGGAACGGUUCCUCGCAUGGCGAUUAUCUUGGCGCAGCUGUUAGUACUUAAUAUUAUUUGAUCAAUGCUACCACCUAGUGGACAUCUGGAGCAAGAUUUCCCUGGUCUGGGGGGUUGAGGGUGGGGUGGGGAGGGACCUAAUCAGGGGAGGGAGAAGGAACCGAGGGGUGCUCUGAAUGCAAGUGUGUGUGUGUGUGUGUGUGUGUGUGUGAUGUUAGCAUUACACAUGCUGAGGUUUAUCUAGAUCCAGCAGGCAGGCUUGGCCCUGUUUAGGGCCACCGGGCAAAAUGAGAAAGCGGGGAGGGAGAAAGAAGUUGGGUUGGCACAGCGCCUCCCUUCCUCCCUCCCUCUCCCCCUCCCUUCUUUCCUCCUCCAAGCCUGGCCUGAGCCAAGAGGAACCAGCUCCAGGGAAGGUGGGGGAGAGAGAAGGUCACUGCUGACGUCAGGGACAUUCAGUUGACAGUUUUAUGGCAACCACGAAGGGACCCAGAGUGGACUUCUCUCCUUCGCCUAAACUGUACGAGGAACUGGAGCCUUGGUACCAGCAGAGGCCCCUUACACCCAUCUGCCUCCUUGGAGAGUCCAGAUGAAUUUGGAUAUAUGUAUGUCUCAGUAUGUGUGUCCCUUUGGAUAAUGCUGCUGAGGUUAAUUUGUAAAUGACCUCUACUUAACUGGCUUAAGAAAAAGUAAGCACUGACAUUCACAGAAAGAUAGACAAGAUGAAAAGGCAGAGGGCUAUGAACCAGAUGAAGGAACAAGAUAAAACCCCAGAAAAACAACUAAAUGAAGCGGAGAUAGGCAACCUUCCAGAAAAAGAAUUCAGAAUAAUGAUAGUGAAGAUGAUCCAGGACCUUGGAAAAAGAAUGGAGGCAAAGAUCAAGAAGAUGCAAAAAAUGUUUGACAAAGACCUAGAAGAAUUAAAGAACAAACAAACAAAGAUAAACAAUACAAUAACUGAAAUGAAAACUACACUAGAAGGAAUCAAUAGCAGAAUAACUGAGGCAGAAGAACGGAUAAGUGACCUGGAAGACAGAAUGGUGGAAUUCACUGCUGCAGAAUAAAGAAAAAAGAAUGAAAAGAAAUGAAGACAGCCUAAGAGACCUCUGGGACAACAUUAAACGCAACAACAUUCGCAUUAUAGGGGUCACAGAAGGAGAACAGAGAGAGAAAGGACCCAAGAAAAUAUUUGAACAGAUUAUAGUCAAAAACUUCCCUAACAUGGGAAAGGAAAUAGCCACCCAAGUCCAGGAAGUGCAGAGAGUCCCAUACAGAAUAAACCCAAGGAGAAACAUGCCGAGACACAUAGUAAUCAAAUUGGCAAAAAUUAAAAACAAAGAAAAAUUAUUGAAAGCAGCAAGGGAAAAAUGACAAAUAACAUACAAGGGAACUCCCAUAAGAUUAACAGCUGAUUUCUCAGCAGAAACUCUACAAGCCAGAAGGGAGUGGCAUGACAUAUUUAAAGUGAUGAAAGGGAAGAACUGACAACCAAGAUUACUCUAUCUGGCAAGGAUCUCAUUCAGAUUCGAUGGAGAAAUCAAAAGCUUACAGACAAAACAAAAGCUAAAAGAAUUCAGCACCACCAAACCAGCUCUACAACAAAUGCUAAAGGAACUUCUCUUAAGUGGGAAACACAAGACAAGAAAAGGACCCACAAAAACAAACCCAAAACAAUUAAGAAAAUGGUAACAGGAACAUACAUAUCGAUAAUUACCUUAAAUGUGAAUGGAUUAAAUGCUCCAACCAAAAGACACAGGCUCGCUGAAUGGAUACAAAAACAAGACCCAUAUACACGCUGUCUAUAAGAGACCCACUUCAGACCUUGGAACACAUACAGACUGAAAGUGAGGGGAUGGAAAAAGAUAUUUCAUGCAAAUGGAAAUCAAAAGAAAGCUGGAGUAGCAAUACUCAUAUCAGAUAAAAUAGACUUUAAAAUAAAGAAUGUUACAAGAGACAAGGAAGGGCACUACAUCAUGAUCAAGGGAUCAAACCAAGAAGAAGAUAUAACAAUUAUAUAUGCACCCAACAUAGGGGCACCUCAAUACAUAAGGCAACUGCUAACAGCUAUAAAAGAGGAAAUCGACAGUAACACAAUAAUAGUGGGGGACUUUAACACCUCACUUACAUCAAUGGACAGAUCUUCCAGACAGAAAAUUAAUAAGGAAACACAAGCUCUAAAUGACACAAUAGACCACAUAGAUUUAAUUGAUAUUUAUAGGACUUCCAUCCAAAAACAGAUUACACUUUCUUCUCAAGUGUGCACGGAACAUUCUCCAGGAGAGAUCACAUCUUGGGUCACAAAUCAAGCCUCAGUAAAUUUAAGAAAACUGAAAUCAUAUCAAGCAUCUUUUCUGACCACAACGCUAUGAGAUUAGAAAUCAAUUACAGGGAUAAAAACAUAAAAAACACAAACACAUGGAGGCUAAACAAUACUUUACUAAAUAACCAAGAGAUCACUGAAGAAAUCAAAGAUACCUAGAGACAAAUGACAAUGAAAACACGAUGAUCCAAAACCUAUGGGAUGCAGCAAAAGCAGUUCUAAGAGGGAAGUUUAUAACAAUACAAUCCUACCACAAGAAACAACAAACAUCUCAAAUAAACAAUCUAAUCUUACACCAAAAAGAACUAUAGAAAGAAGAACAAACAAUACCCAAAGUUAGUAGAAGGAAAGAAAUCAUAAAGAUCAGAGCAGAAAUAAAUGAAAUAGAAACAAAGAAAACAAUAGCAAAGAUCAAUAAAACUAAAAGCUGGUUCUUUGAGAAGAUAAACAAAAUUGAUAAACCAUUAGCCAGACUCAUCAAGAAAAAGAGGGAGGGGACUCAAAUCAAUAAAAUUAGAAAUGAAAAAGGAGAAGUUACAACAGACACUGCAGAAAUACAAAGCAUCCUAAGAGACUACUACAAACAACUCUAUGCCAAUAAAGUGGACAAUGUGGAAGAAAUGGACAAAU
Long non-coding RNA from Orcinus orca (killer whale), 8184 nucleotides. RefSeq lists it as uncharacterized. The transcript has 3 exons. The record is from RefSeq and is a predicted model, not a curated record. Lineage: Eukaryota; Metazoa; Chordata; Mammalia; Artiodactyla; Delphinidae.